UUGCAGGAAACUUCCCCAGCAGAGGAGGAGCCACUGGACCCUCCACUUUCCUCACCCUUCCUGUCUGGAACGUACCAGGAUCAGAAUUUUUGGUCGGGAAGUAACAUCUGAAUCUGUACCUGCUGACGUCGGAACGAUGUUCUCCGUGCCCCCGAGCUGGGUUUACACCUUUAAAAAAAAAUUGGAGUUCCCGUUGUGGCGCAGUGGAAACGAAUCUGACUAGGAACCAUGAUGUUGCAGGUUCAAUCCCUGGCCUCACUCAGUGGGUUAAGGAUCCGGCAUUGCCGUGAGAGAUUAUCAAAUACGUACAAAAGUAGACAGAAAAAUGGAUCCCUCUGCACCUGUUCCCUAGCACGACACCUGCCCAACCACAGCCAGUCUGGCCCGAGCUGCAUGCCUACCCACCUGCUACCUGCUAAAGACAGUAGGGUUGCAGCCUCUCUUGCAUCCGAUGUCCGACCCCCUGGUGGCUGACGUUGGUCCGCGGGCUUGCUGCAGGCUUCCUUGCUGAGCCUCCAGUGGCAGACGGUGGUGUGUCUGUCCAUCGUCUUCAGCUUCUUUGUAGGUCUCUUGUUUACACUGAGACUGCUUCGGUCUGUUCAAAGUCGACUUUACAUAAGACUUGAGAAGCAGCUCGCCAAAGCGCUGGCUGCACAGAUUGAAGAGAAAUGCCGGCUCAUCGACAAGAUUUAUGCUGCUGUAAAGGAGAAUGCAGAGAUGGAGACAUCUUUAAAGAAGGCCAGCCUAGAGAGAGAGUCCUUAAACAUACCUGGCCUCACUGAGACAUUCAGAGAGAUGCUGAGGAUCAACGAGAUUCUGAUGGAGGAACUCAAUUCUCUGGCUCGAGAACUGGAGAAAGAGCGUGUCGAGCCGUCUAAACAAAAGCAGGAGAUGGUGGAGAUGGUGGAAGAGCUCGAGUUCCUGGAGGAGGUCAUGAGAACCACCACAUCACACGGGUCUCUCAAACCAUCCAGGAGGCCAAGCACCAAGCCCUGAGGGCCCCUUCCCCAGGAGGGGGCCUGGGGAGUAAAGCUCUGCUCUUCCCUCCCCACCACUCGGGCCUCCCAAGCUGCCAGAUGGCAUCCGUCCCCUCUGAUGGGUCCCCACCUGAAUGACACCGAGGCCUGUGGAUGCAGGAUGGCUCCUCCAACUUUACCUGCUGAGCACAGAAGUGAGUUCCUUGCCGGUCAUCUUCUCCCAGCUAAAUGGACUUCGAGUCUAAGACUUCUACAUUCACAGAACGCUGGGGUUCUCUCUCAUCAGUGGUGAAAGAAGUACGGUCCUGAAGAGACUUGGACUCAGUUUGACUCUUCCUUAAGCCACAUUGCUCAAAACAGUUUUGGUAACUAUUAUAGAUCAAACUCAUAGGUGAGCUUAUCAACACAGACUUUUAGUUGGCAAUAGUAAUAUUAUUUUUCUAGAGUUAAAAUCACAACAUUUGUAAGUCUGUGGAAGCAAAAUUUUUGCCCAUGUUUGUAUCAUUAAAAAACAAAACAAAAAAAAAAACUCUCUUGAAAUAGUUAAAUAAUAGGUUUAGAAAUAAAUUUUAUCAUUUAAGAUCGAUAAUCUAAUAUAACAAUGGUUACAUUUGAAAAAUUAAACUUGAUAAAUUCCAU
This 1616-nucleotide long non-coding RNA is filed under the name Sus scrofa (pig). RNAcentral's name for it is "lncRNA (ENSSSCG00035049805.1)". Lineage: Eukaryota; Metazoa; Chordata; Mammalia; Artiodactyla; Suidae. The record is from RNAcentral.